CACCCUACGGGAGGCAGCAGUUAGGAAUAUUGGUCAAUGGGCGGGAGCCUGAACCAGCCAAGUCUCGUGAGGGCAGACGGUCCUAUGGAUUGUAAACCUCUUUAGGCGGGGAGCAAUGCCGGGCACGUGUGCCCGGAGGGAGAUUACCCGCAGAAUAAGCAUCGGCUAACUCCGUGCCAGCAGCCGCGGUAAUACUGAGGAUGCUAGCGUUAUCCGUAUUUAUUGGGUUUACAGGGUUCUUAGUCGGAUUUUUAAGUCAGCGGUA
Molecule: ribosomal RNA, 265 nt
Filed under: uncultured bacterium
Lineage: Bacteria
Description: partial 16S ribosomal RNA
Rfam family: Bacterial small subunit ribosomal RNA
Source: RNAcentral